UCGUUUCGAUCUAUACCAAACAAUUUCUUUUCAUCAAAAUUUCCCUGCUUAUGAAUUUCUUAAACUUGGCCCCUGCCAAUAUCAUUCUCGCGGGUACCUUUGUCAAGGUAUCCCACUGAGACCGCCAAGGCUGUUCAAUGACUCAUACCCAUAAACAUGUUUUCACAUCUAACACACAGCCGUUCCUUGGCGUUGGUUGAGUCUCACUCUCACGUGGUGGCCCGAACGUGAGGUGCACUCAAAUCAUACCUCAGGAGAUACUUCACCCAACAUCUCCCCCCGGAGGUUAGUAUAUAAUUGAGUUACGGUGCCCCUCUCAUAGGCAGUCCACGGAAA
RNAcentral lists this long non-coding RNA (336 nucleotides) under Theobroma cacao (cacao). Its description in RNAcentral is "long non-coding RNA (TCAC_LNC001199)". The record is from RNAcentral. Lineage: Eukaryota; Viridiplantae; Streptophyta; Magnoliopsida; Malvales; Malvaceae.